This is a non-coding RNA of Phellopilus nigrolimitatus, 98 nucleotides long. The record is from the annotation of a GenBank genome assembly. NCBI's taxonomy places the organism in Eukaryota, Fungi, Basidiomycota, Agaricomycetes, Hymenochaetales, Hymenochaetaceae.
GCCGCAAUAGCUCAGUUGGGAGAGCAGUAGACUGAAGUUCCACGCGAUAGCGAUCUUUCGAUUUCUAAAGGUCCCCCGUUCGAACCGGGGUUGUGGCA